UAGUCCACGCCGUAAACGAUGUCAACUAGCUGUCUGUGGACUUGAUCCGUGGGUAGCGCAGCUAACGCACUAAGUAUCCCGCCUGGGGAGUACGGUCGCAAGAUUAAAACUCAAAGGAAUAGACGGGGAUCCACACAAGCGGUGGAGCAUCUGGUUUAAUUCGAUAAUAAGCGGGGAACCUUACCGGGGCUUGACAUCCUCAGAACUCUCUAGAGAUAGAGCGGUGCCCUUCGGGGAACUGAGUGACAGGUGCUGCAUGGUUGUCGUCAGCUCGUGCUUUGAAGUGUUCGGUUAAGUCCGUUAACGAGCGCAACCCUCAUCGUAUGUUGUUUUUUCAUGCGAGACUGCCAGGUUUAACCUGGAGGAAGGUGAGGACGACGUCAAAUCAGCAUGGCCCUUAUGUCCCGGGCGACACAGGUGCUACAAUGGGAAGGACAAUGCGUAGCCAAGCCGUAAGGUGGAGCCAAUCGCACCAAACCUUCUCUCAGUUCGGAUUGUGGUCUGCAAC
RNAcentral lists this ribosomal RNA (508 nucleotides) under uncultured bacterium. RNAcentral's name for it is "bacterial SSU rRNA". It matches the Rfam family "Bacterial small subunit ribosomal RNA", at positions 791 to 1311 of the family's 1533-position model. The record is from RNAcentral.